This 329-nucleotide ribosomal RNA is filed under the name uncultured bacterium. RNAcentral describes it as "bacterial SSU rRNA". It matches the Rfam family "Bacterial small subunit ribosomal RNA", at positions 8 to 334 of the family's 1533-position model. The record is from RNAcentral.
AGAGUUUGAUUCUGGCUCAGGACGAACGCUGGCGGCGCGCCUAACACAUGCAAGUCGAACGAGCGAGGGAGAGUUUACUUUUUCGAGCGAGUGGCGAACGGGUGAGUAACGCGUGGGUAACCUGCCUCAUACAGGGGGAUAACAGUUGGAAACGGCUGCUAAUACCGCAUAAGCGCACAGUACCGCAUGGUACCGUGUGAAAAACUCCGGUGGUAUGAGAUGGACCCGCGUCUGAUUAGGUAGUUGGUGGGGUAACGGCCUACCAAGCCGACGAUCAGUAGCCGACCUGAGAGGGUGACCGGCCACAUUGGGACUGAGACACGGCCCAA